GUCUCUGUGUGUACCUGAAGUGAGGUAGUAGGUUGUAUAGUUGAGAACUACAUCUGCCAAGGAGAGCUAACUGUACAACUUGCUAACUUUCUUCGGGUCG
RNAcentral lists this microRNA precursor (100 nucleotides) under Ixodes scapularis (black-legged tick). RNAcentral describes it as "let-7 stem-loop (isc-let-7)". Its record names the gene isc-let-7. The stretch from base 15 to 96 matches the Rfam family "let-7 microRNA precursor family". Rfam says of the family: This family represents the microRNAs (miRNA) let-7 and mir-98. let-7 was identified from a study of developmental timing in C. elegans, and was later shown to be part of a much larger class of non-coding RNAs termed miRNAs. The extents of the hairpin precursors are not generally known and are estimated based on hairpin prediction. The products are thought to have regulatory roles through complementarity to mRNA. The record is from miRBase by way of RNAcentral. Lineage: Eukaryota; Metazoa; Arthropoda; Arachnida; Ixodida; Ixodidae.